GGCAUCAUAUUUUGUCUAGUUAUUUAAACAUUUUGUAGGCAAAAAGAAUCAUAUUUUGUAGAACACCGCCUUUUAUUUCUAAUUUAGUUCGUGCCUUUUCUUCCGGAGUGUGUCUGAAGUUGAGUUAGUCUUUGUAAUAAUCACAUCGUUCACAUUUAAAGAUAACUUACCUGAUUGUAACAAAAAAUUUUGAGUACAUUAUAUUUCACUCACUGUUAAGUAAAAUAUUAGUAUGAUGUCGAUGAUUAUUAGUGGUCGGUAUUAUGGUCUUGAACAAGGAAAAUAAUUAGUUUUCAACAAAUAAUUAUUCCUCAUUGUUUGGUUGUAUCAAAGUCUCUUAUAUGGGGCAGAGUAAAUCAGACUAUAAUGGCUGUGUAUAGUGUAACUGAGGUUUGGUAUACAUGGAAUUCCUUGUGAUUAGGGCUUUUGUUCUGGGGACUUUGUUAAUAAAGUUAUCCAAUGAUUACAUGUCCUCUGAAUGGUAACUGGGAUAAUGCUGUUGCAUAGGGGUGUAAUUUAGCCGAGUUUGAUCGAGCUUGGGUAUGAUUAUAGUUUCGUUUAAACUCAAUUUUGAGUUUGAAAACUCAGGUCAAGCAUGAUUUCCGAGCUCAAUUGAAGCUUAAUUUUGCACUUUGCUGAGCAUAAGUCUAAUUGGUUGGCUUGAAAUCCCAAAUUGAGCUAUAAAUCAAUUCAAGCUUGAACCAUGCUCGGUUCAAUCUUGAUUUCUAGCUUGGAUCAAGUUUGAUUCAUGGAUUGGUUCGCAUCUGAUUUGGCAUUUGGUGCAUUAAGAGUUUUAGAAACAUAAUACUGAAGAUGCUAUUGAAUGUGCUAUCAUUCGUUGGAUCAUAAAAUAUUAACAAAACCAUCUCACAAAGUUAUAAUUAGGCAAGCUGUGGUUACAGUACCAUCUAUAUCAGUCACAUGAGAAAAAUCAGUAUCUUCAUUGUACAAGAAAUUUGUGAAAAAUUAUCAGCCAAAGAGGAAAAAGAAAAGGAUCGUUGGAAGGCCUCGGCUUUCCUCUCUUUUCUUUCACCUUUUCCUUGCCUUCUUUUGGUUUAUUUAGUCCAUGCUGUGAUGGGGUUAGAUUCUUAUUGCUUAAUAUAUUGCUGCAUUGGGCCUUCAGAACCGUGCUUUCCAGCGACCUGGGGUCGAGGAUCUCGGGAGGCACGUCAGGCUCUGCGGCUGGGUAGUCCUCCGCAGGGUUCAUGGUGGGCUGGUGGCCUUACCUUCCUUAACCCUAGGGAUCCCUUUGGGAUUGUUCAGGGAAUGUUGCUGAUGGAUAACUCUGGUUGAUGAGUAUUUGAUCUCCAUCGAGGGUAUUGUUCGUGCUUGGCCAAAGGAAUCUAUAAACAAGAAGAUGAACAUUGGGUCUAUAGAGGUAUGACGGAGACUCCUAUUGCUUAAUAUAUUGAUGUAUUGCUUGAGAACCUGUCUGCUUAAAUAUGAAGGUUCGUUUUUCUUUUUAACUAAUUUCAAUGACCUCAUAUUGUGAAAGAAAAGAAGGCAAGUUGAAGAUGGUGCAAAUCAUUACCAUUGCUCUGUUCUGCUGUUAUAUACCUUGGCGUUUCUUGAUUGCUUGUUCCAAUAGGCCCUCCCACCCCUCUUUCACUGCACCAAAUCCUGAAGAUAUGGAUGAUCUCUCUUCAGCUCGUGCUUUGGCUUAUGGCGUGGUGUAUAACGGAAUUGAGGUAACAUAUUUUAUUCUUCUGUUAUUUAUGUUGUUUUCCCCAUUCAUCAUAACUGGCAUCUGGUCUAUAAAGCCCCAUAUUUUAUUUUUGGUAUUUA
Non-coding RNA from Phoenix dactylifera (date palm), 1785 nucleotides. Lineage: Eukaryota; Viridiplantae; Streptophyta; Magnoliopsida; Arecales; Arecaceae. The record is from RefSeq and is a predicted model, not a curated record.